CUUCAACCUUUAGCUGUGUUAAUUUCGCGUUCACCUAGUACUUGGGCUCGACGCAGAUAAAGCAGAACCUGCGAGACGCUAUGACGCCAGAUGAGUGGAGGAAGCUUAUGUGUGCUGCUGUUGCAGACGCUGGCCUGGGUUCUGUUGGGCUGGACGAAGAUGACAUAGAUAAGCUCUGGGCAGCGAAGUACAACACCGCUGACCGUUUGCGGACUGCCAGACGGGAAGGGCUCGUCGACGCGCGUCUGGCGCCUGGCGUGGUGGAUGCUAUUAUAGGUAAAUCCUAAGCGCGAUUCCUUCUCAACUCAUACCUUGCCGAAGAGUCCGCGUUGCGUGUGCUCCGGCUACUAUUGGUCGCUCUCAAUUUGAAGACAAAACCAACUUAAGCAACCUGUGUGCGCACACAUUGAACGGGGUUGGCCAUUAGGCUGGUUGUUUUUUGGGGUACAUCUGAGGCUGCGGCGCAGACCCUGCCAAAUAGCGUGUCGGGAAAAUAUUUUGCAUUAGGGAUUGCUUCUGUCCCAUACCUGGUAUCGUAACCAAAACACGCAUAACGAGGGCUUGCCGUGAC
RNAcentral lists this long non-coding RNA (571 nucleotides) under Volvox carteri. Its description in RNAcentral is "long non-coding RNA (VCAR_LNC003427)". Lineage: Eukaryota; Viridiplantae; Chlorophyta; Chlorophyceae; Chlamydomonadales; Volvocaceae. The record is from RNAcentral.